Molecule: long non-coding RNA, 240 nt
Filed under: Vigna radiata
Lineage: Eukaryota; Viridiplantae; Streptophyta; Magnoliopsida; Fabales; Fabaceae
Description: long non-coding RNA (VRAD_LNC010858)
Source: RNAcentral
UAGAUUUUCAUGUUGUCAAUUACUGAGAAUAUUAUGACGUUUUUCUAGAGACAAAAAAAAAAGUGUAUGUAUAAUAGACAAUAUAAUAAAAGAAUGAGAUGGAAAAAAAUACAAAAAAAAAAAAAAUAGACUCAUACUUAAAUUCUCACAGUUAAAUUAUCUGGUUAAUUUAAAUUAGUAACUUUAUACAUUGAUUUUCUACUCUAGGAAUAUACAUAAACUUGAAUUAUUUAAACACUG